This is a long non-coding RNA of Felis catus (domestic cat), 2900 nucleotides long. RefSeq lists it as uncharacterized. The record is from RefSeq and is a predicted model, not a curated record. The transcript has 4 exons. NCBI's taxonomy places the organism in Eukaryota, Metazoa, Chordata, Mammalia, Carnivora, Felidae.
GUACAAACCCAACUGAGUGGUGCCAGCAGGAAUAAAGUUGCUUCCUGGAAAGAAAAGCCUUGAUGUCACGGCUCUCUGGGCGAGAAUCCUGCUGCAUUACUUGGGGACUUGCAUCCAGGAUUCAGAAACAGUGCAUUUCCACCUCCUUUGCCACUGGGGAUAGGAACCUGGGGGCACCAGGAGAGACGGCCUCUCCUGGCACCAGCAGACCCCUUGAUCUGCAGAAGACUAGCCUUACCAGCACACCCCGGUGAGGACUCCGUGUCCGCCAACGGAACCCGUAAGGUCCAGGAACCAGCCCAGGGAGUGCCCAUCAGACUGGAUCCGCCAAGGCCGUCCCAGCUGGCUGGAAAUGUGGAAAGGACUAGACUUCUCCCUCUCCUUGCCAUCUGGGUGCACCUUGCAAUUUUGCUUUCGUCAAUGAAAUGUGAGGGAAAUUAACACGUAUCUUCUGAGCACAAUGGAAAAAACCAGUCUCAUACUUUCCUGAGAGUCAACAGGAAGGACAACGGGUGACAGGUGAAUAGGAAAAUCCAUCUACCAGGCUUUCCCAAUAGGCGGUCCCCAAGCUGCCUCUGCAAACGGUAGCCCAUUGUGUACCUCCAAACAGGAGUAUUUGUAAAGAGAAAGCCAGACACUGGGGAGAGGCGACUGGCAAGGUUUUCCUUGAAGAGAAUUGUCAGAACAUUGUGCUCCUUCCCUUUCCCUGAGCCGCCUCAACCCCGACAAGUCAAGUUAAAGCAGCACUCAAAGGCCAGCUUGAAGAGCUUGACAAGACACCAGGAUUCCGAUGAGACAGCAACCAGAGCUGACUCUUGCCAACGCCACCUCUGUGAGAAGCUGGCUGAAGCGGUUUGAGUUGCCGAGCAAAGAGAGAACGACAUAAUAGAAGCUGUCUGUAAUUCUAGAAUUUAGAAAGACAAAAGAAGUGGGAUUUUCGCGUGGGAAGAGUUGGUGGGAGAAAGCAGAACUAUAAUCACCUUAAAAGACCCCAAUGCCAAAGGAGGGACCUGAAGGGGUGAGGUGACUCCAGCAUUCCACCAGGGGGCGCACUGCUCCUGCAAACAACCUUUGCAGUGGGAGGUGCCUGCGGAAGUAGGAUACAGGCAAAGAAGAGACUAUGCCUCCGCAAAAAUAUGCACUUUGGAAUAAAGAUUAUUUUAAACUGAAGACAGAUGCAAAAAAAAAUUAAUAAAAGCUUUCUUUGGGGCAUCCAUUACCUUGUUAAAAGCAGGUAAUGUUUCUGGGAAACAGGGGUGCCAUUAAUUCCUCUUCAGGGCAUAUACACCCCAGAAGGGAGUACAUAAAUAAAACCUACUCCAAAUCCCUUCUCCAGGGAUUUUUAUGGCCCAGAGGAGAUGGAAAGACCACUUAUACCUGUAUAGACAAACAUUAUCACAUUUGUUUUCCCAUCACCUACUAAGUUAAGUAUAUAAACCCCAAGUUCUAACAAUCUUUUGGGGUUACUCAUCCCUGAGUUUCUCCUGGGUGUAUUGGUGCUGCCUGCAUAAAUGGUUUCCUUUUCUCCUGUAACUGUCUCUGGCUGGUUUAAUUGGCAGGGUCCUACCCACUGAAUUUAGGAGGAAGAGGAAAAUUUUUCAUCCUCUACAUAUCCCAGGGAUUAAAGGGGCAGAAUUUGGACAUCUGUCACACAAGUGCCAGGCCAGAGACACUUUGCCUUUUGUGCAAAUCCUCCUCGGCUCAGUGCCAGUGCCUGACCUUGGAGCACAACUAGUGAGUGGGUGGGAAGGAAAAACAAAGAGAGAGGAAAAUUCCUCCUCCUCCCUCCACCAUCAGUCCUGGGGUGAGACAGGGAGUUGGAAAUGUAGUUUUACAUUAGCCCAGACAGGCUUUUCUUCUUCCUGUGAAGAAAUUAUUCACGUGAAGCGAACAAUGCUGAGUGUACCCUAGAAGACUUUUUAUGUAUCUCUGCUUACAUAUAACCCCCACUCAGAUCUGCUGAGAAAAUAGCUAUUAAACUAACCUCUUUCACUUUUAGAUGGUUACCUCUUCUUGACUUUACACAAAUGGAACCAUACAAUAUAAAAUCUUUUGUAGCUGGCCUUCUUUCCCUCCAUAAUAUGUCUGUGAGCGUCAUCCAGGAUGUUGUGUGUAUCAGUGGUACUUUUUUAAAUUGUUAUAAUGUGCCUCCUGCAGCUCCAACCAUCUCACCAAGGGGACACAGGUGCAAAGCACACAGAGACACUUCAGGCCCACACCACUUUGGCUCCAGCUGCCCUACCAGAGUGGCCCCUGUGUGGUCUACCUGGGACCCCCUGGCACAUACCCACCUGGGAUUCAGCAAUUGCCAGGGUACCCCCCGUAUGAAGUGCUCCUGGGCAUCCCAGCCUGGAUGCUGCUCUGGCUCCAGCUGCCCCACUAGAGCGCCUCCUAGGGGAGUGCCCCAGGACCCUCUGGGCUAAGCUGGCCUCAAUUCCAACCACCCUGCCAGGCUGCCUGCACUGAACAUUCCAGGACACCACAACAUGCACCCACGUCAGUUUCAGCUGUCUUGUUGGGUGUCUAUGUGGAGCACCCCAGGACCCCCAGCUUGCACUUACUUUAGCUUCAGCUGUCCUUCCAGGGUACCCUACAUGCAGAGAUCCCAAGACCACCCCAGCCAGGGUCCGCUGCAGCUCCAGCCAUCCCACCAGGGAAGCCCCAGGACCACCAGCCCACACCAGCUACUGUUGCCAUCAACCAGCCCAAAUCCCCAGGCAGACACUGUCUACAUAGGGGACACCCAAUGCAAUACCACUUCUUCAGUUUAGGAGAUGUAGCCAUUCUGCCUAAUUUAUAGAAAUAAACACAGUUGAGCAAAAUGAAGAGACAGAGGAAUAUGCUCCAAACAUAUUGGAAAACAGGAAAAAACCCUCAGAAAAAGAAUUAAAUGAAAUGGA